Molecule: transfer RNA, 74 nt
Filed under: Bos taurus (domestic cattle)
Lineage: Eukaryota; Metazoa; Chordata; Mammalia; Artiodactyla; Bovidae
Also listed under: 3 other names
Rfam family: tRNA
About the family: Transfer RNA (tRNA) molecules are approximately 80 nucleotides in length. Their secondary structure includes four short double-helical elements and three loops (D, anti-codon, and T loops).
Source: Rfam by way of RNAcentral
UCCCUGAUGGUCCAGUGGCUAAGACUCCACAUUCACAAUGCAGAGGGGCCCAGGUUCUAUCCCUGGUCAGGGAA